This 276-nucleotide ribosomal RNA is filed under the name Triticum aestivum (bread wheat). RNAcentral describes it as "partial small subunit ribosomal RNA". The record is from RNAcentral. Lineage: Eukaryota; Viridiplantae; Streptophyta; Magnoliopsida; Poales; Poaceae.
CUAUUUGUCAACUCUGAUAAUAUGGAAGUGAUUGACACAGUGAAAAAUGGAGGACAAUCGGCGGCAGCGGCAGCGGCAGUGUUUGACGAUUGCUAUUUUAUGGCAUGUGAUUUUUCUGUUACUAGGUUUGAACAUUGUAGCAGGGAAGCAAAUAAGGUUGCUCAUGAACUUGCAAGGCUAGUGAAAUUUUCCGAGACUAGGGAUUGGUGUGAGGAGCCUAUGGGUGAUAUUGUAUCUUUUCUUAUUAUUGAUGAUCUAACUCUUAUAUCUAAUUAA